UUACGACCAUAUCACGCUGUGGCAAUGGUUCCCGUACGAUCACCAAAGUUAAGCAACGUCGAAACUGGUCAGUACCUAGAUGAGUGACCACUUGAGAAUACCAGGUGCUGUAAG
Non-coding RNA from Acanthosepion pharaonis, 114 nucleotides. The record is from the annotation of a GenBank genome assembly. Lineage: Eukaryota; Metazoa; Mollusca; Cephalopoda; Sepiida; Sepiidae.